This 426-nucleotide ribosomal RNA is filed under the name uncultured bacterium. RNAcentral's name for it is "partial 16S ribosomal RNA". It matches the Rfam family "Bacterial small subunit ribosomal RNA", at positions 354 to 796 of the family's 1533-position model. The record is from RNAcentral.
GUGAGGAAUUUUCCGCAAUGGGCGAAAGCCUGACGGAGCAAUGCCGCGUUAAGGAUGAAGGCCUAUGGGUUGUAAACUUCUUUUCUUAGAGAAGAAUAUUGACGGUAUCUGAGGAAUAAGCAUCGGCUAACUCUGUGCCAGCAGCCGCGGUAAGACAGAGGAUGCAAGCGUUAUCCGGAAUGAUUGGGCGUAAAGCGUCUGUAGGUGGCUUCAAAAGUCUCCUGUCAAAGAUCAGGGCUUAACGCUGGGCAGGCAGAAGAAACUGUGAGGCUAGAGUUUGGUAGGGGCAGAGGGAAUUCCCGGUGGAGCAGUGAAAUGCGUAGAGAUCAGGAGGAACACCAAAGGCGAAAGCAGCCUGCUGGGCCACAACUGACGCUGAGGCACGAAAGCGAGGGGAGCAAAAGGGAUUAGAAACCCCUGUAGUCC